AACUUCUUCCUCACUCCACUCCCUAACUUCAACAUCAAUGUUAUCCUCUAUUUUUUUCUCUUCAUCUUUUUUUCUCAUCCUCUCUUUUUUCACUCUCAUCUCUUUUUUUACUCUCACUAAUCAACUCCCUUCCACUUCUCGUCGUUAUCGCUUUACAAUGCUAUUUUGGAUUCGUUUGCGUGUUCGCCGAAAAAGAUGGUUCGGGUUGUUGUUCCGCUAGUUGUUUAGCAAGUUGACCGACUUGAGUUUCGAGAUUUUUGAUUGCCGCAUCGUUGCUCUUUUGAUUAGCCAUCGACAAUUGCAUAAAUUGUGUCAAUGUCUCUUCUAACUUUGAAGUCACGACCGGCGGUUGUUGAGGUUGGUAAGGAUUUUGACGGCUACAAGUACCACCCCCAUAACCUUGGUUAUGGUAAUAGUUAGCCCUUGGUUGGAACCCUAGAUUCCCUUGAUAGUGUUGUUAUUGAUUUUGAGGAUGUUGUUAAUACGGUUGUUGUUGUUGUUGCCUCGGUUGGUAGUCUCGUUGAUUCGCCAUGUAAUUCACCUCUUCGAACCUGGGAGGUGGACAAAAUUCGGUGUCAUGAUCACCCUUGCAAAGCUCACAACAAGCUAUUUGUUUAGCUUUUGAAGGCUCUCUCAACUCUUUUAUUUGUUGAGUUAAGAGUUCAAAUUAUUGUGAAAUGAGUUUAUUUUGGGCAAGAAUAGCAUCAUUUGUCCCAAGUUCAAGCACUCCCGGUUUCUUCAAAGUGUUGCCUCUACUUUGACUUUGGAGGUCAUUUAGAGCCAUACGGUUAAUGAUAAUUGGGCAAGAAUAGCAUCAUUUGUCCCAAGUUCAAGCACUCCCGGUUUCUUCAAAGUGUUGCCUCUACUUUGACUUUGGAGGUCAUUUAGAGCCAUACGGUUAAUGAUAUCAGUAGCUUCGUCGGCGUUUUUAGACAACAAAGAACCACCCGAGGUAGCAUCCAAUAAAGUCUUGUAAUUAGGUUGAAGGCCAUUCUUGAAAAUGUGGAUUUGCGUCAAUUCGUCAAAACCAUGCCCUUUGCACUUUCGAAGCAUGGAUUUAAAUAUUUCCCAUGCCUCAUUCAAUGAUUCGUUGGCUCCUUGCGAAAACACGGAGAUAGUCGUUUUGGAUUCCAUGAACCGGUUGUGGGAGAAAAAUCUUUCAAUGAACUUCUCUUCCAACACGUUCCAAUCCGUCAUGACUGCAGGUGUUUGAUCAAAGUACCAAUCUUUUGCUUUGCCGAGCAAAGCAUGAGGAAAUAGUCUUUUGAACAACGGUAGCUCUUGAGCUUGAUCAACUCCGGCUGCCAAUGUUAUCUCGUAAAAUUUGGUGAGAAAAGCAAAGGGGUCUUCAUGGUCCAACGGUAGCUCUUGAGCUUGAUCAACUCCGGCUGCCAAUGUUAUCUCGUAAAAUUUGGUGAGAAAAGCAAAGGGGUCUUCAUGGUCCAUUCCGGUGAAUGGACUUCCGUAUAGCAAGUUAAGAGUUCCCGUCUUCAUCUCGGCUUGCCUUCCUGCGUGGUUGGCAAAUCGAGCUAUAUUCCUCGGACUGUUGACACAUGGUGUGGAAACGGGCGGUGGUGGUGGUGGAUCCAUGGUAGGUGUGAAAGGUGGUGGCUGUGUUGUAGAAGAACCUUCUCCUUGUUCUUGUCGUUGUCUAGCUUGUUGCCUCCUUCGUCUCGUUCUGCUAUUCAGUCACCUUGCGGUUCUUUCGAUCUCGGGAUCAAAAAGAAGUUGGUCCUCAGGACCCUGCCCUCGCAUAAAACAAAAGCUUCACACUAAACUAAACAAAUUAACAAGCACAAGUCAAAAAUUCGGAAGUUAAAAAUUCAGCAACUAUUGCGAUACUCGCAAUAUCAAUUCACAAUCCCCGGCAAUGGCGCCAUUUUGUUGGUGUAAGGAUAGAGUAUCGGGAUUUGUUAUCGUCUCCACAGGGAUUAUGUGAUAUUGCCGCCGUUCGACAGUUGUUAAGUUCUUAACCUAUAGUAACAAGGGGGUUUUAGUUUUUGGUUACGGUAGCUUGUAUAAAAAGUAAGAAAUUGCGGUAAAAGUUUUGGUUUUACGAUUUGAGAAAGAUUGUCAAAGUUAGGGUUCGACGAUCACUUUGCAUGCAUAUGUUAGAUCAAACAAAACUCAUAAACUACAUUAGAUGAUAAACACAUUCACAAAGUCCUCCCAAUGUGUUUAUUUCUAACACACAUUGUGGUUUUUCCCAUUUUGAUCCAUUGUUGAUCUCUGACACAAUCUAUCAAAAUGACAACUUUUAGGUUUAACUUUUUUAGUGAACAAACUCAUUCAUUACUAUCUCUAGCUAAAGAACAAGGAUGGAUGAAAACCUAGGUCAAGAGUUGGAAAACACCUUUCAAAAACACCUUUCAAUCAUAAACCAACACAAAGAGUUAUCAAUAAAACAAAGUUUUCACCAUACAUUCAUCAUCAAAGAGUUUACAAAUGAAGAUCAACCCAUAUACAAACAAAGCUUAUGAUCAUCUAUAUCUAACCUUGACAAAAUGAAGGACUUAGCUACUCAUUUUCAUGGUAGCUUGAACAACAAGUUUCGGACGAAGGUUGAUCAACAUUCGAGUCGAAGAAUCGAGAUUGGAUGGGAAUCCACCUUCUUUUUGUAAAAUAUUGUCAAGAGAAGAAGAAGAAUGAGAAAAAUGGGUUUCUAGGGCAUAAAAAUCACCUCUAAGCCAAAAACAAGUAAAAAGAUGAUCCCAAGAAAAAAUGAAGAUCUUUUCCAAAAAGUAGCCCAUGCUACUUAUAGUACUGGUAUCUGAUCUGUCAUGCUCGCUAGGAGAGCAGAAUGGUUCGCCUAGCGAGCCCUAAAAUAAGCCACCAGAAUAGCCUGCGUCCAGAGGAGUCAUCCCAGACAAGUCUGCACUGUUCGCUAGGCGAACAAUCCUUUGCUAGGCGAAGCCCUCGCUUCUCUCAUUCGCUCCAGUGAGUUUUGAUGAUUUUGCUACUAGAAUUGCUCGCUACCUGCUCGUUGGAUGCUCGCCUAGCGAGUACUUAGCUACUUCCCUCGCCACAGCGACUGUUGAUGGUUUUGCUACUGGAAUUGCUCGCUGGAUGCUCGCCUAGCGAGUGUUGAUCUUUUUUGGCUCUGUCCAAGUCUGGGAGUGUUCGCUGGCAUCUCGCUGCGUGCUCGCCUAGCGAGUACUUCGCUACCUCACUCGCCUAGCGAGCUUGCUAAUGUUUGCUUUCUUUCUUGGUUCCUUUGCCAUCUUUCAUGUGCCAUAGUUUCCUACUCUUUCAUGCCUAAUUCCUGCACAAUAACACACAAAUUAAAGGUACCAAGAUCAUUUCACAUAGUAUUGCAAAUCAACAAAAGCAAGGGCGGUUUCGAACACUUUUUCGAUAAAAAAAACACACAAAUUAAAGGUACCAAGAUCAUUUCACAUAGUAUUGCAAAUCAACAAAAGCAAGGGCGGUUUCGAACACUUUUUCGAUAAAAAGGAGUGAAAGAUGCCCAUAUUUGAUAGCUCAAAUAAGCAAACUUGGGCAUCUAACAAUAGGUUGCCCUUGGUUGAUCAUAUUGUUAAAUCUCUUAAUGAUAGAUGAGACUUUUUAUUGCUUGAGGCUGCCUUUUCUUUUUGUUGUAUUGCAUUGUUUCAAGAGGCUUAAUUUGUGUAAGACCUCUAACGUACUUAGCACAUACAUUGUUAUUGACCGGCUUCAAAUAGGUGUGACUUUUACAUAAGUCCAUUUACGAUUGCUUAACAUAGCUCUAAAUUAUCCCCGACUUGAUUGAUUGAUCCUUUGAUCAUUAGCAUGCUAACUACUAACUUCUAACUUCUAACUUUUACAAUAUUGCACUUUAUUUCCUCGUUAUUUAAAUUCUCAAAAUUUUCUUUCCGCAAUUUACUUUUAUUGCUCACUUUAUUUCAAGCACUUUAUAUUUAUGUUCAUCAUUAUCCACUUACCCCAUGCAUCAUUUAUUUUAUGCCUUUCAUUUCUUGUUAUUUUCUUUAUUGCAUUAAUAGCUAUAAAGAACAAAAAUAUGAUAAAAUGAAAAUACCAAAAAGAUGUAUUCAUUUGUGACCUACUAUUGGACUUAGAGGACUCAUUAGGACCCUUGUAUUUGGACCUUGGAUCAUGAUUCUUGACCUAUUACUCUGACUUGGAAUUUUAUCAGUGACUUGCAAUCUUUUAAUGUAAGAAUGGCAUUCAUGGCACUACCCUAGGGAAGACAUGUUCUUAAUCUCAUUAUCCACUUGUUAGCUUAGGCGACUUUUCACACACAAGGUUUCUCUUGGGAUACCUUACAAUGAGACCGUUUAUUUCUCGCAUUGUUCUUUUUCAAAUAUCUAUGUAUCUCACCAUUUCAAAAUAAAUCAAUAAACCCUUGAUCCAACGUCAAGCGGAAUUUUCUUAAUCAAAUUCAAAAUACAAUAAAAAUACUAUUAGAAUUGUGCGCCACGAUCUUUAAGUGGUGGAGAAGGAGUGAGAAUGGAUCUCUCCUACCCUCACUCUGAGUAUUUUGGACAUAAUACGCUUGACUUGUUUGUCUAAAAUAUUCACCUCUGCCCAUAGUCUUUAGUGCAAUUCUAAUCAAGAAUAAUCCCUUUUCAAAACCUCAAAAAACAACAUCAACUUAUCAAACUCUUUCUACACCUUAGGGCAUCAUUCUACAGAUAUUUUCUUAAAAGGACAUGUUUCUUCCAUUCUACCACGGUAUAAACGACGCUUAAACCUCCCAUCCGUAAGCAUACAAGUAAAUGUUUAACUUCUAGAAUACGACCGAAGCGCGCCCUUUCUACCGCAAACAAACAAAUGCUUAAGUCUCCCAUCCGCGAGCAUACAAGCAACGUUUAAUUGCUAGAACGUGAACAUUAACACUGUUCACUAAAAACAACCAACAAAUAAACAUUUUCUACUUCGAACUACGGAGCUCUGAUUCUUCAUCCCCCAAUUAUGAUACGUAGGCACAAGGGCUCCAAUCCUUGACGAGCACAAUAAUAAAAAACCAAUUAUUUCCCUUUUUUUUCUCCCGAUAGCAAAUAAAGAGAUAAAUAAACACCCACACACGUAAACAACUUAGAUGGUUCCCAUCGAGUAUGAUGGAUGUGAGGGGUGUUAAUACCUUACCCUCGCAUAACCGACUUCCGAACCCAUAUUUGGUUGCAAGACCAAUCCUUUCCAUUUUCUUUUCCUUUAGAGGGUUUUAUCGAUUAUUUUCCCUUUCCUCUCUUAUAUGAGGAAUAAAUCAAAUCUGGUGGUGACUCUAUGUCAGCUAACAUAGUGGUCAGUUUUCGCAUAGCGACCUCUACAACAUGGACCAUCAUCUGAUGGUCCAGGCCACCAAAACCUUGACUAUGAGGACGCUAACCUUGACCACCAAUCGACUGACCUAGAAAAGAGUGCGCCGACACCAAAGACUCCAAAUAAUGUUAGCAAGUCCUAAGGAAAUCAAGAUGACGGUCCAAUACAAGAGGAACUAAAUCUUUGAAGAGGUUAAGAAAAUCAAAGUCUUAUCCAACCUCAGCCUGAUGUGGUCGAGAAGGAGCGAAACCAAACAUCUCCUGCUUCAAUGCCUUCAUCAACAUCCAACGAAAGUCCAAGUUCGGCUUCUUCAUUUAACACUUUCAACACCAGUCUCAAUCAUGGAAGACUAGAGCAUGUUAACAAGAAGAUCCCUAUAUAAUCUUUCAAGAUGCUCAUAGGUAGUCGAGGGGCUUCGAUCAAAAAAUAUCCCAACUCUCUACCAGCUCCAAGCAUCGAACCUUCUAGUGAUUUUUUUGUUGAGCUAACCCAACAGUUGAAAACCAAGAUUAUCGAUAUGGAUCUAUUUCAGCCCAUAAAAGAUAAUCCUUCAGCUCUCUGUGAAAUAACAGGAUUUCUAGCAUAACUGAAUUAGCCAUAGGUGUAUAACUCUAUUUCCGGCUUUAUUCUUAAGUUCAAACUAUUUCUUAAACAAACUGUUUAAAAUGUCAGCUAAAAAAGGAAUCUGCUAAAAGACUCGACCGACAGAUUAACGGAAUGUCUCAGCAAUAAGACUUAGUCACUCUGUCUCAAACUCAAUUCAAUGAGUGGGAAUCAAAGGUUAAAGUAGGCAAUGAUCGGCUGACUACUUGUGAUACGAAUAUUCAAAUAUGGGCGCAAUAAAUGGACGAGUUACAUCAAAAAAUAGAAGCAACAGAAAGGGAGAAAGUUGAGAUUGAUACUUCACAAUUAGCCUUUGUCGAGGAAAAACUGGUUGAAAAAGCUAAGAUUGACAUUCAGCACGCUAAAACUGUUGUGCAAUAGAGAAAGAAGUCAACAAGUUGAAGACUAAAGACUCGAUGGUUUACAAGAAGAUUCGACUUGCCAAAUCGUGCUUCGAGAAAAUGAUAGCUAACUUCCCUUCUUGAAAUUUUUGACUAUCUAUAACUGUAUUACCAUUGUAUUAAUGACUCUACCAUUUGGGCAUUUUUUGAAUUAAUGCCAUUUUAACAUUCUAUAAUUUCCAUGCCUUACUACUCUCAUACUAUGUGAAUUUAAUGUAGUAUAGGCUUGUACCUUUUUAAUUACUUGCCAUUUAUCCUAAGAAUUUGACUUUCAGGACCUAACUAUUUUGAUCCAUGGGAAGAAUAACCUUCCAAACAUAACCCAUAACUACAAAGGCUUUCGACUUAACCUUUUUGUUGUAGGCUUUAUAUAUUUUUUCCUUUUCUAUUGUAAGGACAUAUAAAGAAACUAACCUUUCUUCAUAUAAAUUGACUAACUCAUCUAUCAUCAUUUUCCAAUAAUGGUCGAAUGGGAUUUCAUCUUUCCUUUUGAUUCUAAUAGACUUCAAGUAAAUCUCCAUAGGCGAGACUGCAUCAUGGCCAAAUGUCAGUCGAAAGGGAAUAUAAUUAGUUUCUUCUCUAGGAGACGUUCGACAAGCCCAAAGUUAUUUAUCCAAAGUCUUAUGCCAAUUUCUUGGCUUUUGACCCACAUGUCUCUUCAUUAGACCUAUUAUAAUCUUGUUGGAUGUUUCGACUUAGCCAUUUGCUUGAGCAAAAUAAGAGGUAGAAGUCAGAAGUUUAAUUCCUAACAUCGAAGCAAAUUCAACCAUCUUUCGUCUAGUGAAAAUUGAACCUUGUUUAGUGGUUAAAGUUUGAGGGACUCUAAACCUAUAAAUGAUGCGCCUUUGAAUAAAGUUGAUCACAACUUCUUGAUCGACAUUUUCCAAAGGCAUAACUUCAACCCAUUUGGUAAAGUAGUCUAUGUCUACGAAGAUGUACCUAUGGCCUUUGGAUGAUGCAAGUUGAAUUUCACUUAUUAAAUCUAAUGCCCAAGCUCUAAAGCCAAGGCUUAACAGUAUAAUGUGAUUCACCUGCAGAGACGUGUUGAAUACCUACAUGUUUUUGACAGUCUUGGCAACCUUUAGCAAACUAGAUACAACCCUUCAACAUAGUAGGCCAAUACAAAACUUGUCGAAACAAGAGCCACUUCAUCUUAUGACUUGUUUGAUGAGGGCCACAUGAUCCACUAUGGACAUUGAAAACUGUCAAAUACACUUCGCUUUUACUAAGGCAUUUAAGUACAACUCCUUCAAGAGUCUUUUUAAACAUUUCAUUCUCAAUAACAACAUAACUCAAUUCCUUGUAUUUGAUCUUUCGAUUUGUCAUUCCUGUUGGAUCUUCCAAAAAAUCUAUAAUUGAUUUUUGCCAAUCAUUAUUCGACAAAUUGUCAAUUGUAAAAGUUUUAAAAAUUUCAGAACUUUGCAAGUCUUUCAACCUUUCUACCAACACCAUUUUUUAUUUUGACAAUUUUGAGGGGAGAAUACUAUAACCUGAAGCAAUUUUUACAAAGUCAUUAGCCUCUUGAUUUUCUAGUGGAGGCACAUGUUUGAUGUCGACUGAAUUAAAUCUUUUUAAUAAUGAGUUGGCUUUAACGAAGUACAUCAAUAAAUUCUCUUUGGUGCAUUUAUAUUAUUUUUUUAAUUUCUUCACAACCAACUGUAAGCCGCCUUUAAUUUCGACUCCUUUUUCCCCCAAGUCUAAGAAGAUGAUAAGGUCUGCAAUUAAGGCUUUAUAUUCAGCCUCAUAAUUAGAGCAAUAACAUUGGAUUUUGAAUUUGAACAUGGAUGGAAUCCCUCUGAGGGAAAUAAUCAGAAUAAUAAUACUAGUUCCAUUCUUGUGUCUGGAUCCGUCGAGGUAUAACGUCAUGGAUUUUUGCUUAACAUAACUUUGUGCCACUUUGACUACUGCAUGUUCCAUAAUGAAAUCAGCCAUAAUUUGACCUUUCAUGGCCAUUAAAGUAGCAUAAGUUAAAAAAUAUUUAGUUAAAGCCAAAGCCUAUUUUCCAAUUCAACUAUUCAGAAUAGGUUUUGAUAGCAUAUCUUUAAUAACAUCAAAAUGAGAAUAGAUGAAAACAUAUGUUGGAUUUAUAUAAUAUUUUAAUUUUGUACAAGAGAAAUAUAAAAAUAGAUAAAAUUUCUCUAUUGGGUUAUAUCUAAUUUUUGCAUCAUUUAAAACUCGGAUGGGGUAAUAAAUGGCCCUUUUGAUGCCAUCAUCAUCCUCUUGUGCUAACGUACUGUCUAUUGUCGAAUCAAAUGAAGAAAUAUAUAAAUUCAUUGGUCUACUUCUCUCAGUCGGUAAAAAUAUAAGAGGAUUCAACAUGUAUAUCAUAAUCUCCUCGAAGGCAUUUUGAUGCUCUAGUUCCCAUCUGAAUCCUUCUUCUUUCUUUAAUCACAUCAGAGACGAAUUUUUUGUCUUGCCACUUAGAUUGAAAGUGAACCUCCUAAAGAAAUUUAUAUUCCCAAGUAAAGAUUGGAGUUGCUUCUUAUUUUAUGUUGGCUUUGUAUUGAAUAUAGCCUUUUUUUCUUCUGGUUCAUUUCUAAGCUUUUCUUGUGAACUACAAAGCUCAAAAAGUCAUCUACAUGAAUACAAAAAACGCAUUUUAAUGGAUUCAUUUUAAUUCCAUGUUUCCUCAUCCUUUCAAGGAUUGUCAAUGGUGGUCUAAGUGACCAGUUUUUGACGAGGAUUUAAUGACUAUAUCAUCAAUGUAUAUGUGUAUAAAUAUCUCGAUGAAAUCAUGAAAUAUAUUAUUCAUCGCCCUUUGAUACGUCACACCAGCAAUCUUUAGGCCCAAAGGCAUUACUACCCAUUCAUAAGUUUCUGAGGCCCCAGGGCAUCGAAAUGCCAUAUUCGAAACAUCCUCCUCUACAAUGAAAACUUGGGUAUAUCAUGAAUAACCAUCUAAAAGACUUAAACACUCAAAGCCUACCAAGGUUUUUUUCUGAUUUUUUUUCGAAAUUUAGAGAGUUUCUUAUAUAUUAGUUUAAGUAAAAUUUAAUUCAAGUUUUCAUUUUAUCUAAAUUUAAUUUUACAAACAAUUUUACUUAAAAUUCAUUUUUAAAAACAUGAAAUCUUUCGAUUUUACUAGUUAAACUACAAAUUUAGGAACACUAUUAAGCUUUUAAUUAUACAUGGCAACGACGAGAGACUAGAACAAUUUUUGCCUUAGUUAAAUCCAAAUUUGAUUUUUUGGUAAAUUUAUAUUUUCUACCUCGAUCUUUGUUUUGAACAAAAAAUUGAACUUCAAACUCGUUUUAAAUAAGUUCGGGUAUUUCCGCCAUGGUCACAUACUAUAGUGUAAAUAUUUUUUAUAAAGAAAUAGUUAAUUUUUUCAAUAUUAAAUUAUAUUACAAAUAAAAGAUAAAAUAAUUUCGAAAAAAUUUCAAUCAUACAUUUUAAAUAUUUUAAAAAGUAAAAAUAAAAACCAAAAUAUCAUAGUGUCGACUAUACAACUAAUAUAUUAUAUUAUCUAAACUAAAAAUAAAAUAGAAAUUAAUAUAAAUGGAAUUGAUUCGAAGUGAAUUCGGUCCAAAUCUGGAUUUUUUUUAAAAGGCUUAAUAUAUGUUUUUGUCCCCUUAACUUAAUUUAAUGUUCCGCUUUAGUUUCUUAACUAAAAAAAUAUUAUAAGUUAAUCCUUUAAGUUCACUUUUGUUAUCUUAUUUGGUCUCUUCCGUCAAUUUCUAGAAAAAAAUGUUAAGUUUUGAUGACGUGGCAUGACAAUAAGGUCAUUGGUACAAAUCUGAUUCAACAUAUAUAGUUAAAAAGUGAUAUAUAAUUUAAACUGCGGAGUUCCCCCAAAAAUAAAACCCCCGUAAUUUAAAUAGUGUAUCAAUUUUUAACUACAUAUGCUGACUCAGAUUUGUAACAAUAGUCUUACUGUCAUGCCACGUGAACAAAACUCAAUAUUUUUUUGUCCAAAAUUGACUGAAGAGACCAAACAAAGUAACAAAAGUGAAGUUAAAGGACUAAUUUGUAACGUUUUUUGUUAAGUGACUAAAACGGAAUAUUUAAUUAAGUUAAGGGACUUGAUUACUAAUUAUGUCAUUUUUAAAAUAACCAUAUUUUUCAUAAAUAAAUAUUCUAAAAUAACCAUAUUUUCAAAAAAAAAAACAAAUUAACCAUGUUUCAAACAAAAAAAAAUCCGCCCCUAAGAGGAUGUGCCACAGGUAAUGGCGCAUGCACUAAUAUUUUGGCAUAAGACACCAUAGGCUAUGGUGCAUGCCCUUAGGAGUAGAUAAAGGGUGUGGUGCAUGCAUUCCACUUUUAGGUGCAUGCGUCAUUGCCUGUGGCUCCUGUGUUGCUUUUGUUUUUUUAUCUAUAGAUCAUUCCCUCCUCAUCACUUUCCAUCCAUCUUCUAAUUCUCUCCUUCAGUUUUUCUUCAAAAUGACGUGCUAUAUUAUUAAGAGAAAUGUCAAUUUGAUUUAUUCAGUAGUAAAGCCUCUAAUAAUGAUCAGACUCUAGAACACGGAGACUUUCAAGCAUCUUUAGAGGAACUUGAUCUGUUGGUUAGAUGGAGACAUUGUAAAUGGUGAAAAGAUCAGAAGAAUUCAAGGUUUGUUAUGGUGUAUAACAAUAAUGGAGAAAAUUAUAUAUGAGAGUCAAUUAAAACUAACAGUGAUUGUCGUAUUAUGAUGCAUAUUUCAGAGGAAAUUGCUCUGAUGGUUGUAAUUGCAUAUAUAUGUUGUUUAAUCAUUGUAUUUGGUUGUCUUGUUGUUUAGUUGUUGUUUAAAUUAUUGUUUAGUUGUUGUUUAAUUUAUUGUAAUCGAAUGUUGUGAUCUGUAUGAAAAGAAAGUUAUUUUUAAUAACAAAUAAAAUGGUUACAUAAAAUGAUUUACAUAUAAAAUGUAGGACUAAAAGUGGAUUAAUUAUGUUGUGGAGCUUGAUCCAACAUUGGGACAGUUUGUACGAUUGAGUUUGGGAUGACGACAUAAACGACAUAAUCUCACCAUUUUAUUCGUUGUAUCCAUUUUGGUUCGAAUACACGUGCUACUAUGGCGACCAUUUUUAUUUCUUUGCAUAUUUUCAUUUGCCAGACUAUGUCCCCUCGAUAUGCAAGCCAAUAGUCCUCCUUUUCUACCACCGGAAAGCUAUUGUUGUACACAUUGCAUAAGUUUAUGACUUUGUAAAUGGAGGAUAGUAAGUUAGAAGGGUCCUUCUGAACAUGUGAACAUGUCGUUAUGACAUGGGAGCAAGGCAUACAGAAGGCUUGGAAAUUUCCGCAAUCGCAUCAACCCUUAUCUAGUUUGACCUGAUAGUAUCUCAUAUGCCUCCUCUCAUUGUGGUCCAAUUCCUCAUCUACAAUGAACCAACCUUUACGACGGUCAAACACGGUGACCAUAUAAUGAUGAGGACAUAAGCCAACAAGACAUAAGUGAUGCAAUUCAAAGCUUAGGCAGUCAUAUGACAAGGGCACGUGCUAGGAAGGUCAAUAGGCGUUAGUGCAAUUCAUGAUUAAUUCAAUGGAGGACGAGGACCUAGUUGAAGGAAAGGAGCCAAAAUUGAGUUUAUCAUCCAAGAACACUACAAUGGCGUGAAAAUGGGGCAUGCUACCUAUUUUUAAUAGUUUUAUUUUAAUCAUUAUGUAAUAAAAGUGUAAGGGACCAAUUUUGGCCCAAAAACACUAAGUUAGAAUGUGUGUUUAAUCCAUUUUAAAGCAUCCAAAGCUUUAAAUGGUGUUUAUUUGAUUAAAGUUCGUGCUAAUAAGGUACUGAAGUAAGAGGAGUGCAAAAGUGAUCAUGAGUAUUCAAAAGGAGAGAGAAUGUGGACCUGGUUAUAAAAGGAAGGUAUUUAAGUGGUGUUGUCAAUCAUUAAGAGUAAUGAAGUGCUAUUAUUCAGCACUAAAAGUGAGGAAAUAAAUUUGUAACCAUUCAAGCAUUACUUGAUCCGCCCCACACUUAUUGUAGCAGACCAAACACUCAUUACCAUUCAUUUUGCAAUCUUUUUGUAACAGUUUUGUAAUAAUUCGGCCUAGACAUUAAUGUUAGAGUUAUUGGCUGAAUUUAAUGAGUUUCCUUUGAAAUUAUAAUUUACUUUCACGUGACCUACACCUAUAUAAGGGAGGCACCAUUCAUGAAUAAAAGGGCAGAUGAAUUUUAUUUAAAAAAAUAUCAGUUUGAGUGAAUUUUGUGAGCAUUGCUCCCUUGGUUCUGGAUUGGACCAAAUAUCGAUCUUAUCAAGAAACCAAGUUUCUUAUGGCGAUCUACACUUGGCUUAUCAUCCUUGCUAGCAAUAGAAAGGGUGUGGCUCCCCAUCUCUAUCUUUUCGAUUAACUUCUUUUCAUUUCACGUGUUUUGCGUCAAUUCUACCCGAAAAUCAUUUUCGUUAAAAGUAAUCAAUUUUCAUACUAAAUAUUCAUUCAUUACAAUCACAAGCCUACAAAAAUUCGAAAUUAUAAUUCUUAUUUUCGUGUGAAUCAAAGAAAUGGACAAAAUCACAAUUUAGUAGCCAUCAAGUGGUAAUCAGAGCAAGGUUCGAAUAGGACCAUUGUUCAUUGCAAAUCCCAAUUGUAUUUCUUCUUAGUUUCUGUUUUGAAGUUUUAAAAUAAUUAUUAAAAAAUAUCCAAAAAAAUUAUAUAUGUAUUCUGGUUGUGAAACUUGUGAUUAUUCAAGAAUUAUUUGCUACCGCACUCUAGUUUUGAUUAUUCUCACGUUUUUUUUCCUCUACUUUGUGUCUUUGUUUUCUUCUUUUCCUUUCAAUUUCAAGAUUUGUGUGUUUUACCAUUUGAAAAUUGUUUUUCUUGCGUGAUUGAAUUUGGUUUCUUUAAAGAACUGAAAAGAGUAUUGAGUGGAAAAGGGCAAGAGUGUUCAUUACAAAAAAGCCAAAUUUGAGUGUAAACAUGUGAGGACAAUUUUUUCUUUAUUGUGUGAUAAUCAUGUCAAAUGAUGAGGAAGGAAUCCCCAAUAGGUUGUUGUUGGAGGCUCUUACAACAAGAAUGCAAAGAAUGUUGAGAGAAGAAUUAGAGGGGAUACAUGAGAGGAUUGAUCGAGUAUAAAAUUUAGUAGCUAGUGGUGAUGAGAGGGAAAGAAGGAGGAGAAGGCGUGAGGAGAUGCCUAGGGAGAACAUAUUGAGUGCAUAAAAAUUAAAGUGCCACUCUUUAAAGGGAAAAAAUGAUCUGGAGGCUUACUUAAAGUGGGAAACUAAAAUUGAACAACUUUUUUCUUGUCACAAUUAUAUUAAUGCACAAAAAGUGCAGGUUGCUGUCAUUGAAUUCAUAGGUUAUGCCUUGGUGUGAUGGGAUCAACUUGUCAAAGAAUAGCGAAGAUAUGAUGAACCAACCAUUGAAACUUGGGAAGAGAUGAAAAGAAUCAUGAGGAGGAGAUUUGUGCCAUCUUAUUAAAAUUGGUAUUUACACAAUAAAUUAUAAAGACCCACUCAAGGCUCUAAAAGUGUUGAUAAAUACUACAAGGAGAUGGAGCAAUCAUGGCUAGUUUUCUUCAUGGCCUAAAUUGGAAGAUAAUGAAGCAAUCAUGGCUAGUUUUCUUCAUGGCCUAAAUUGGAAGAUAAUGAAGCAAUCAUGACUAGUUUUCUUCAUGGCCUAAAUUGUGACAUAAGUGACACUGUGGAGCUGCAACAUUAUUUGGAGAUAUAGGACUUAGUGCACCAAGAAAUAAAAGUAGAGAAACAACUCAAAAGAAAGAGCCAAACAAGGAGAAGUUCCACCACUUUCAAUUCUUCAAUUUGGAAAGACAAUCUAAAGAAGGAGGGUGCUUCAUCUUCAUCAUAUAAGGAGACCACAGUUGAAACCAAAGGUAAAGCUAUGACACCUUCUCAAAGUGUUUCAACUAACAAAAAAACCACAUGUUUCAAGUGACAAGGCCAAGGGCAUAUUGCAUCUCAAUGUCCAACUAAGAUAAUUAUGCUUAUGGAGGAAAACGAAGUAGUUGUUGAAGAGGAAGAUGAUAAGAAUGUUGAAGAGUGUGAUUGGGAAGAAGAAGAAGAAAUAACUAGUGGAGAGUUACUUAUGGUGAGGAGAAUGUUAGGGAACUUAGUCAAAGAGGAAGAUACCACUCAAAGAGAAAACCUUUUCCACAUAUGAUGUCUAGUUCAAGGAAAGGUAUGUUCUUUAGUUAUUGAUGGUGAGAGUUAUACUAAUGUUGCUAGUACUCGGUUAGUUUCAAAGCUUAAUUUAGAGACAAAACUUCACCCUAAUCCAUAUAAGCUUCAAUGGCUUAAUGAAAGUGUUGAAAUGGUUGUUAAUAAACAAGUUGAGGUUUGUCUUAGAAUUGGGAAGUAUGAGGAUAUGGUGUUAUGUGAUGUAGUACCUAUGGAGGCUAGUCAUUUGUUGUUAGGGAGGCCUUGUCAAUUUAAUAAAAACACUAGUCAUGAAGGGUAUUCCAACAAAUACUCUUUUAUUCAUCAUGGACAAAAUAUUAUUCUUGUGCCAUUGAGUCCUAGUGAGGUGAGAGAAGAUCAAAAGAAAGUGAGAGGAAAAAAAUAGCAAGAAAGAAAAGAAAAAGAAAAGAAUGAAAAAGGAAAAGAAAAGAGUGACAAAAGAAAGAAUGAUGAAAAGAAGAAGCGUUUGAUUGCAAAAAAAAGGAGAGGUUAAAAAUGCAAUUGUUUCACAACAACCCUUAUAUUUUCUAUUUUACAAAGAGGUGGCGUUGUUAGCUAACACUCUUAACACAAUUUUUUUCCUAGUUGUGUUUAAACUCUUUUGCAGGAAUUUGAAGACAUGUUUCCAAAGGAGGUGCCAAGUGGUUUACCACAAUUAAGAGGAAUUGAGCAUCACAUUAAUCUCAAUCCGAGAGCAUCCUUGCCUAAUAGGCCAGCUUACCGAAGCAACCCACAACAAAUAACAAACUCAAGAAAUACAAAGACAAGUGGUUGAUUUGGUAAGUAAAGGAUUGGUAAGAGAAAGUCUAAGUCCAUGUGUUGUUUCGAUAAUUUUAGUUCCAAAAAAAGAUGGUAGUUGGAGAAUAUGCACCGAUUGUAGGGCGGUUAAUAACAUUACCAUUAGGUAUAGGCAUCUCAUUCCUGGGUUAGAUGACUUGCUUGAUCAAUUGUUUGGUGCAUGCUUAUUCUCUAAAAUUGAUUUGAAAAGUGGGUACCAUCAAAUUAGAAGGGAGGGGGACAAAUGGAAAUCAAUUUUCAAAACAAAAUAUGGUUUAUAUGAGUGGUUGGUUAUGCCAUUUGGACUAACUAAUGCACCUAGCACUUUCAUGAGAUUAAUGAACCAUGUUUUGAGGGAUUUUUUGGGUAAAUUUGUUGUUGUGUAUUUUGAUGAUAUCUUAAUAUAUAGCCAAGAUUUAGAGGAAUAUUACAUUCACUUAAGGGCUGUUUUACAAGUGUUAAGACAUAAAAAUUUAUAUGCAAAUUUGGAAAAAUGUGUCUUUUGCACCGAUCAUGGGAUUUGCUUAGGUUUCAUUGUAAGCUCUAAAGAAGUCCAUGUUGAUGAAACCAAGGUGAAAGCAAUUCAAGAAUGGCCAACGUCCAAAAAUGUAAGUGAGGUAAGAAGCUUUCAUGGCUUAGCUAGCUUCUAUAUGAGGUUUGUAAAGGAUUUUAGUACAUUGACUGCACCUCUUAAUGAAACGUUAAAAAAGAAGUUGGUUUUAAAUAGGAUGAAAAAUAAGAGCAUGCUUUUGCUGCCUUUAAAGAGAAACUAACUCAAGCACCAAUUCUCGCAUUGCCAAAUUUUUAUAAAUCUUUUGAAAUUGAGUGUGAUGCAUCCAAUGUUGGAAUUGAGGUUGUUUUGAUGCAAGAAGUUAAUCCAAUUGCUUAUUUUAGUGAGAAAUUAAAAGGGGUUGCCCUAAAUUACUCUACUUAUGAUAAGGAAUUGUAUGCCUUAGUUAGGGCAUUGCAAACUUGGUAACAUUACCUAUUGCCAAAAGAAUUUGUCAGUCAUAGUGAUCAUGAAUCUUUAAAACAUUUAAAAAGGAAAGGUAAGUUGAACAAGAGACAUGCAAAAUGGGUUGAAAUUUCUUGAAAUUUUUCCAUAUAUGAUUAAGAACAAGAAAGGUAAGGCUAAUGUGGUUGCGGGUGCACUUUCAAUGAGGUAUGUUUUACUUUCUACUCUUGAAACAAAGGUUUUUGGUCUUGAGCAUAUUAAAGAGUUGUACGAGAGUGAUCUUGAUUUUUCUCCAAAAUAUUUAGCUUGUGAGUAUGUUGCACUCAAUGGAUUUUUUUAGGCAUAAUGGCUAUUUAUUUAAAGAAAAGACACUAUGUGUGCCCAAAAGUUCCAUUAGAGAAUUAGUAGUGAAUGAGAUGCAUAAGGGAGGGUUAAUGAAGCACUUUGGAGUUUCUAAAAGUCUAGAAUUUUUGAAAGAACAUUUGUAUAUGCCUCAUAUGAAGAUUGAUGUGUAAAUUUUUUGUGAAAAAUGCAUUGUUUGUAAAAAGACCAAAUCAAAAGUUAUUGUCAUACCCCAAUUUUGUCUGGGCAUAUUUAAAUUUUUGUAAAAUUGAUUUCAUUUUUAAUUUGCAUCAUAUGCACAGCAUGACAUGCAUUUCAUCAUAAAUAAUACCUAAAAUAUCAAUCGGAAUAAGUUUAUUGAGAAUACAGACAAAUCGGUUAAAUUGUUUCUCAAGAAUGUGCAAAAUCAGCGGGUAAAAAGUUUUAAAAUUAAAAUUGCAGACGCCAGUAUUAUUCAUCUAUGGUUCACGUAGUUCAACCUAGUGUGCUCAUUAUAUUUUCCAGCGGCUGUUUCGGCUGCAUUUUGAACCGUCUGACCCUUUUAACCGGUGAAAAUUUAUUUAAAAAAUUAAGGAAACGCUGUAUUUUUUCAAUAAGUAUAUUUUGUGCUGGUCAUUUUAGUGCGUCCGAUUUAAUUUUUUGAGUAAAUUUCCGCCCAAUUUUCAUUCAUUUUGGAUCCCAUUAUUUUUAUUGUUCUAAUCAAGAUAUCAUUUGAAUAAAUUAGAAUUAAUUAAAUAAUUAGUUUGAAUUUAUUUUUAUGAAUUGAUUCUAUUUUCAAAAUAAUUACUAACACUUUAUAAUUUCCAAAAUUUAAAAAAAGUGAAGAUAAUGAAGCAUUUACGUUUGAUCAUCUACACAAUUACACAUUGACAGCUAGCGAGUCAUAAUAGAAUUUUUCUCCUUAUCCCAACUGGACACGUGGCAUGAUUGGAUUGGAGGGUGAAAAUGGUAUUCACCCCACUAGAGGACAAAGAUGGAUCACACUGAGGGAAAAAGAGAAUCCAAGGAAAAGGAGGAAUUUUCGGACCUCCCUCUCUCUCACCUCACGCAAUAAACACUCACCUCACUCACAAACUUCACAUUCACUCUCUCUUCUCUCACGACACUCAAAAAAAGAAUUUAAAAAGAAAACACUCUCUCUCUCACAUGAUUCAUGACCUGCCUAGCUAUCUCCUCACUCAUACGCUCACUCUGAAGGAAAAGAAGAAAAGAGAGUAAUACUCCUUCUUUCUCAUAAUAACCCUCUCACUCACCAAUAAAAAACAGAAGAAAAAACAAAAAAUUGGCUGAGCUUUUUUCCUCUUCUUCUCCACACCACCUUGCGCCGUCACAGCCACAAUCGCCACCGCCACAAAACCCUCCGCAUCUUCCUCAAUUUCAGUUUCUCCUUCCGGCGACACACACCACACUAAUCUCUGACCUUCGCUGCUCCACCUCCGCCUCUUAACAUCUCGCUCCGUCCACAACCCAUCUUCAUCAUUCACCUCCACCACAAAAACCCACACGCCGGCGGACUCAAACAACCACACAACACACGUCGCUGGCAAAAAACCCUUCUCCAACCGCCGUGAUCUAAAGCCGAUGAACACCACUGCCGAAAACUCACAACCUCCGUUAAAACUUCUUCAUCUGCGAGAAACACCAAUAAUUUUCCGUCCACCGAUCUACUCAAUUCCGACACCGCACCACCGUUCCCCUUCUUCCUCACCACAAAUUGUUAACUUCGUUCAUCUUCUUCUUCUUCCACCGUGCAACUCACAGAUGUGACAACAACAAUCAAACUCCGUUCAUCUCUCUUCCACAAAGCCGCGGAUCCACCAAACAACCACUCCUUCAGUUUCAGUCGCCGUUAAACCACCGCCGCGACACAAUAACACGUUUGUCACCCUUCGCCGCGAACCGAUAACAACAACGCAAUUGUCUCUCUCUACACACCCUUAAAUCUCGCAGGAAACAACCUCUUCACCGUGUUUUAGAUCUAAUCUUGGCGCAUUCAAAAUAUCUAGUAACAACGUAAUCGAUCUCAAUAAAGUAGUCCUUGGAAUUUUUGGUUGGGUCAAUUUGGAUCGGGUUUCAGUUGGUAUGAGUUCAACAAAAUCGACAUCCUAAGUCUGCAACAGUAACAUUCGAUUUUAUUGACCAUGUUGAUUAUUGUUCCGACAUAUAAUUUCGAUAUGCUUUAAAGUUUUCAUUUACUACUUUGUUCCUUAUCAUUUGAUCUCUGAUGAUGUAUUAGGUUUAUACAUAAUAGGUUGCUAUUUGUUCUGAGAUAACAAAGUCAAGCUCAUUUUAUUUUUCAAACUUUUGAUUUAUUAUUAUUAUUAUUAUUUUAUUUUUAUUUUUUAUUUUUAGUAUUAUAUGUUAAUGGGUACUUUAUUUGUUCUAACUAAGUAGCAGGUGAUUUAGUGUUAAUCAUAAUGUUUUGUUAAUAUUGUUAAUGGGUUGAGAAAUUG
RNAcentral lists this long non-coding RNA (18839 nucleotides) under Lathyrus oleraceus (garden pea). Its description in RNAcentral is "Pisum sativum (pea) long non-coding RNA (PSAT_LNC020602)". Lineage: Eukaryota; Viridiplantae; Streptophyta; Magnoliopsida; Fabales; Fabaceae. The record is from RNAcentral.